RNAcentral lists this ribosomal RNA (502 nucleotides) under uncultured Glomeromycotina. RNAcentral's name for it is "partial small subunit ribosomal RNA". It matches the Rfam family "Eukaryotic small subunit ribosomal RNA", at positions 591 to 1092 of the family's 1831-position model. The record is from RNAcentral. Lineage: Eukaryota; Fungi; Glomeromycota.
CCAAUAGCGUAUAUUAAAGUUGUUGCAGUUAAAAAGCUCGUAGUUGAACUUCGGGGUUCACCCAUUGGUCAGGCUUAAUUGUCUGCACUGGUGAGAUGAGUCUCUACCUUCUGAGGAACUUUCAUGCCAUUUAUUUGGUGUGGUUGGAAAUCAGGACUGUUACUUUGAAAAAAUUAGAGUGUUUAAAGCAGGCUAACGUCUGAAUACAUUAGCAUGGAAUAAUGAAAUAGGACGGACUGAUUCUAUUUCGUUGGUUUCUAGGAUCACCGUAAUGAUUAAUAGGGAUAGUUGGGGGCAUUAGUAUUCAAUUGCCAGAGGUGAAAUUCUUGGAUUUAUUGAAGACUAACUACUGCGAAAGCAUUUGCCAAGGAUGUUUUCAUUAAUCAAGAACGAAAGUUAGGGGAUCGAAGACGAUCAGAUACCGUCGUAGUCUUAACCAUAAACUAUGCCGACUAGGGAUCGGACGAAGUUAAUUUUAUAAUGACGCGUUCGGCACCUUACG